Molecule: ribosomal RNA, 464 nt
Filed under: uncultured bacterium
Lineage: Bacteria
Description: partial 16S ribosomal RNA
Rfam family: Bacterial small subunit ribosomal RNA
Source: RNAcentral
GACGAACGCUGGCGGCGUGCUUAACACAUGCAAGUCGAGCGGAAAGGCCACUUCGGUGGUACUCGAGCGGCGAACGGGUGAGUAACACGUGAGUAAUCUGCCCUUGGCUUUGGGAUAGCCACCGGAAACGGUGAUUAAUACCGGAUACGACCACUCCAGGCAUCUGGUGGUGGUGGAAAGUUUUUCGGCCAGGGAUGUGCUCGCGGCCUAUCAGCUUGAUGGUGAGGUAAUGGCUCACCAUGGCUUCGACGGGUAGCCGGCCUGAGAGGGUGACCGGUCACACUGGGACUGAGACACGGCCCAGACUCCUACGGGAGGCAGCAGUGGGGAAUAUUGGACAAUGGGCGGAAGCCUGAUCCAGCAACGCCGCGUGAGGGAUGACGGCCUUCGGGUUGUAAACCUCUUUCGGUAGAGACGAAGCGCAAGUGACGGUACCUACUAAAGAAGCACCGGCCAACUACGUG